Molecule: ribosomal RNA, 253 nt
Filed under: uncultured bacterium
Lineage: Bacteria
Description: partial 16S ribosomal RNA
Rfam family: Bacterial small subunit ribosomal RNA
Source: RNAcentral
UACGUAGGGGGCUAGCGUUGUCCGGAAUCAUUGGGCGUAAAGCGUGUGUAGGCGGUCCGGUAAGUCCGCUGUGAAAGUCGGGGGCUCAACCCUCGAAUGCCGGUGGAUACUGUCGGGCUAGAGUGCGGAAGAGGCGAGUGGAAUUCCUGGUGUAGCGGUGAAAUGCGCAGAUAUCAGGAGGAACACCAAUUGCGAAGGCAGCUCGCCGGGACGUUACUGACGCUGAGACGCGAAAGCGUGGGGAGCAAACAGG